This 170-nucleotide ribosomal RNA is filed under the name Cetoscarus bicolor (bicolor parrotfish). RNAcentral describes it as "partial 12S rRNA". The record is from RNAcentral. RNAcentral also lists the same sequence under 1 other name. Lineage: Eukaryota; Metazoa; Chordata; Actinopteri; Labriformes; Labridae.
CACCGCGGUUAUACGAAGAGCCCGAGUUGAAAAACACCGGCGUAAAGGGUGGUUUGGGAAUAUUCUAAACUAGAGCUAAAUUUUCUCAAAGCUGUCAUACGCGCAUGAAAAACAGAAAAUCACCUACGAAAGUGGCUCUAACUAACCCUGACACCACGAAAGCUAUGACA